RNAcentral lists this ribosomal RNA (1732 nucleotides) under Cutibacterium acnes. RNAcentral's name for it is "bacterial LSU rRNA". Lineage: Bacteria; Bacillati; Actinomycetota; Actinomycetes; Propionibacteriales; Propionibacteriaceae. RNAcentral also lists the same sequence under 1 other name. The record is from RNAcentral.
UGASGGGUGGGAAUCCCGUCCGCCGAUUAUCCAAGGGUUCCAGGGUCAAGUUUGUCUGCCCUGGGUGAGUCGGGUCCUAAGGCGAGGCCGACAGGCGUAGUCGAUGGGUAACCAGUUGAUAUUCUGGUACCGGCUUGUCACCGUCCGUGUCGAGGUGUGUGAUGCUAAGCAUGUGAGCUUGUCUUGGGAGUGUUUUUGAUGCUUCUGGGGUGGGUGAGUGUGUGAACCGAUCAUGUAGUAGGCAAGCUGCGGAGGGACGCAGUGAGGUAGCUCAUCCCCGGUGAUGGUUGUCCGGGGCUAAGUGUGUGGACUGUCUGGUAGGUAAAUCCGCUGGGCGUGAAGGUUGAGGCAUGAUGGGGAGCCCAUGGUUGUGGGUGAGUGAGUGAUCCUGUACUGUCGAGAAAAGCUUCGUGAGCGAGGUGGCGGGUCCGCCCGUACCCUAAACCGACACUGGUGGAUAGGUAGAGUAUACCGAGGCGAUCGAGUGAAUCGUGGUGAAGGAACUCGGCAAAAUGCCCCCGUAACUUUGGGAUAAGGGGGACCUGAGCUGUCGUGCACCCGUGCGGUGUGGUGGCGGUGAGGGGCGCAGAGUCCAGGGGGAAACGACUGUUUACCAAAAACACAGGUCCGUGCGAAGUCGUAAGACGAUGUAUACGGACUGACUCCUGCCCGGUGCUGGAAGGUUAAGGGGAACUGUGAGUGUAUGCGUAGCGGUGAACUUAAGCCCCAGUAAACGGCGGUGGUAACUAUAACCAUCCUAAGGUAGCGAAAUUCCUUGUCGGGUAAGUUCCGACCUGCACGAAUGGAGUAACGAUUUCCCUACUGUCUCCACCAUGAACUCGGUGAAAUUGCAUUACGAGUAAAGAUGCUCGUUACGCGCAGCAGGACGGAAAGACCCCGGGACCUUUACUAUAGUUUGGUAUUGGUGAUUGGGACGGUUUGUGUAGGAUAGGUGGGAGACGUUGAUGCGGCCACGCUAGUGGUGGUGGAGUCGUUGGUGAAAUACCACUCUGAUUGUUCUGGUUAUCUCACUGUGGACCGUGAUCCGGUUCAAGGACAGUGCCUGAUGGGUAGUUUGACUGGGGCGGUCGCCUCCUAAAGGGUAACGGAGGCGCCCAAAGGUUCCCUCAGCCUGGUUGGUAAUCAGGUGGUGAGUGUAAGUGCACAAGGGGGCUUGACUGUGAGACUGACAGGUCGAGCAGGGACGAAAGUCGGGACUAGUGAUCUGACGGUGGCUUGUGGAUGCGCCGUCACUCAACGGAUAAAAGGUACCCCGGGGAUAACAGGCUGAUCUUGCCCGAGCGCUCAUAGCGACGGCAUGGUUUGGCACCUCGAUGUCGGCUCGUCGCAUCCUGGGGCUGGAGUCGGUCCCAAGGGUUGGGCUGUUCGCCCAUUAAAGCGGCACGCGAGCUGGGUUCAGAACGUCGUGAGACAGUUCGGUCCCUAUCCGCUGCGCGCGGAGGAAUCUUGAGAAGGGCUGUCUUUAGUACGAGAGGACCGAGACGGACUGACCUCUGGUGUGCCAGUUGUUCUGCCAAGAGCAUGGCUGGUUGGCUACGUCGGGUUGUGAUAACCGCUGAAAGCAUCUAAGCGGGAAGCACGCUUCAAGAUAAGGGUUCCCACAGGAGUGUUCCUGGUAAGGUCCCCGAGAGAUGAUCGGGUUGAUAGGCCAGACGUGGACGCAUCGUAAGGUGUGGAGCUGACUGGUACUAAUAGACCGAGGACUUUCAUU